GCUUACAGCCACACCACCCUGAACAUCUCUGAUUUUUGGAAGUUAAGCAGGGUUGAACCUGGUUAGUACUUGGAUGGGAGACAAGAUGAGAAUGGCCAGGCAUGGCUGUGGUCU
Molecule: ribosomal RNA, 114 nt
Organism: Cricetulus griseus (Chinese hamster)
Lineage: Eukaryota; Metazoa; Chordata; Mammalia; Rodentia; Cricetidae
Source: Ensembl